Molecule: long non-coding RNA, 5153 nt
Filed under: Medicago truncatula (barrel medic)
Lineage: Eukaryota; Viridiplantae; Streptophyta; Magnoliopsida; Fabales; Fabaceae
Description: long non-coding RNA (MTRU_LNC007822)
Source: RNAcentral
AACAAAAAAUAUGAAAUGUUACAUCCUCUUUAAUUGCUAUGCUAUCAUCAUCACAUAUUCAUCUUCCUUUAAUUAAUUUGUUGGAGAAGAAAAGCUGAGGUCUAAUCCAAUGUUCAUUCCAUUGUAAGCAAUUGGAGCAUACAUCCACAUAUCUUCAGAGCUUAAAAGCUGUUUCAUAUCCAAAUAAAUAAAUAAACAAUGAAUUAAUAUUUAUCUUUUGCAUAUAAGAAAUUGAAAAAUGGAAGUUUCUCAAAUUGUUACCUUAAUUUGAAGCUGCAAAAACUUCACAUAUUGGACAGCUUCCUCAAGCAUAGUGCUAAUAUCUACCUACAAUUCACAAACAAUGAAAAAUUGAAAAUUUGUACACCUUAACCAAUUGUUAGUUCAAUUUCCAUUAAUUGAUUAAGAAAUCUACCUUAGUUCCAUUUGGGACAAGGGUUUGCAAGAUUCUCAAUCUUUCAUUUAUUCUUUCUCUUCUCUUCUGCACAACAAAAGAAAGUAAACCUUUCAUGAGAGACAUAUUUAGCUAAAAGCAAAGACAAGAAUAUAGUACAUUUUGUAUUGACUUAUUUGAACUUAUUUACCGACAUGUGACACUUUCGAGAGUUUAGGAAAACAUAUGACAUGUUCACAUUAUGAAAACAUAUGCAUUUAUGCAUGCGAUAAGUGCUUAAUUAAGUUGUUUAUCCAAACAAAAUUUAAUAUGGUGACAACAAUGGAAUGUAUUAUAAUUCAUCAUGAUUCUAUUGCAGAAAUGUCAUUCAAGAGGACUCACUCUUGCAUAAAUGCUCUGUGCAUCAGUGGCAGGACUACUUGCGGCUCUUGAUUUUCUGCCCAACUUAGGUGCCUCAUGUUCUUUUGGGCUCAAACUUGAAGAUAUUAUUCCUCCGAUUGAGUCAACAUGUGAAAAACGGUUGUUGGUGCCAUUCCACAUUAAGCCCUCUUCAUUGUUGCUCAUAGAAGCAGAUUUUGGACACUUUCUAACAUUCCUCGUGUUUUCUGAAACCUACAUAAUAAAACCAUGAUCACAAUCUAAUCUCACACAAAUAAACAACAUAAGUAAAAAACUAAAAAUAGACAUACAUUUUAGCAUAAGACACUAGUUAACAAGCAUUAGCUUUUUAACUUGAUAUUAUUGUUGUACCUCUAAUGAGCUCCUAAAUCUCUUUGCAGGGUUCUCCAUGUUUGUGCUUCUAUCUUCUUCUGAAGAAGGUUCUAAACAUGACCCUUUAUGAUCAAUAAUGUCAUUAUUUAUGUGUUUGCUUAUGCUAUCAUCCAAAUAUUGAGGACUAAAUUUGGCAUCUUCCAAACAAAAAAACAUGGACAGUGAAUCAAAGUUUGUUGCCAAAUCACAUGAGUAGGUUCCACUACUUGUAGUGCUACUCCCUUGGGAGAAACACAUAAAAUCAGCAUGAGGAAAGUAAGAUGGCAUGCCAAAACUUGUAUUUUUAUUACCACUAAGGAACUGAUUCAUGAAGUCAGCUUCCUCAGCUGUGUACUGUCCACUAAGAGAAUCCCAUUCUUCAGAAAUCAAUUGAGCAGGUUCCAUUUUUUUUUUUUUUUUAAUGACUUUUGAUUUGAAACCUAUGAAAAAUGAGAGUACUCUUGUUUUUGUUUCAAUAUGUUUUAAUGAUAUGAAAAAAUAGUAGCAUUAGUGGUAUAUUUAUACCUAACAACUUAAGGUAAUGCCAAAAUGGGAUUGGAUUCACCUAUAGAAAAAGAUCCCAUUUCAUAAUUGGCAAGAAUUAGGAACAGACAAAGUACUAGUACCCUGAAAUUGAGACCAAAUAUAAUUUAAUUUAGAGGGAGGACCCAUCUCAAUGCCUUGACAUGUAUUAAAGUAAUAGGCAAAACUACUACAUGAUUCUUUAACUUAAAUCAAAUUUGCAAAUCAAUUUUUUUUUUAUCUAUUUUAUGUGUCAAGUUGGUCCUUUAUGCUUCAAAAUAUCAACAAUGUUACUAAACAUUUUCCAUGUAUGUAUGUUAUCAAAAGUCAUACCAGAUGAUUCAUUCAAAAAAAAAAAAAAAAAAGAUUCAUCUUCAAAUUCAUCAAAAUUAACAUUAAUUUAUUUAAAUUAAGUUAACAUCCUCCUAUCAAGUUAAAAAUAAACACAAUGAUGAAAUAUUGGUAAUACAUUAAAAGAUUUGAAUAGGUAUGAUAUAGUGGUGGUUGUGUGAAAUACAAUAGAAGGGCUUUAGUUUUAGGCAUGGUGGUGUCUUGUGCCUGUCAAACAUUCUAACAAAUUGUAUUUUUAUUAUUUGAAUCUGACAAUGACGUUAUUGUUGUUGGACAACUGUAGACAAGUAUCCAACUAAGCAGUUUGAAAUCCUAUCAAGCUCAUUCAACCUAAUUAAGAUCCUGUUUUGUUAACAGUUUUUAACAUAUAUUUUUCCUGGAUUAUGUGCAUCCAGUUACUCUUAGUAUUGGCUUGUCGUGACAUUUAAAUCACUCACAAAAUGAAGCACAACCACUCUUUAGAUUAGGCGUGUCCCGGUGUCAUACAUACGUCGUGUUCGAUAUCAACACGACACCGACAUAUAUAAUUACACUGAAUUAUAUGAUUUUUUUAAAAUUAUUAGCGGUGUCAACAUGUCAGUAUCUAUAUAAUAUCCAUAUUUAUGUCCGUGUUUGUAUGACAAUUUAACUCUGCUUCAAUAUAUACGGCUCUAUUUAGUUUACUAAUUAACCAUUUAGGUCACACUUUUCUUCUUGCAUGUUUUAUUUAUUUAUAUUAAUUGGAAGCCUUAAAAAUAAAUAUAUGACUCUGUUUCUGGCAUUGCAUGCAAUUACAUAAUUUGAUUUUACAUAUAAAUUUUAAAUAGCCAAAUAUUUUAUAAGCCGGCAGGGGCACGACUUCGGAAGGAAAAAAAUAUAUUGUUGAUCAAUUGGUAGGAAUUUUCCCGUGUAUUCAUUUUUGCCAUUAUAAUAUUAUGAUUAUGUAUGAUAUAUAUGAUUAUGAAACAGUUGGCAUUGGUAUUUAGUUAUCUAUUUCUGACCAGUUAAUAUUUGCUACAACUAAUUUUUUAUCACGUGGCCUUUAAAAGAAAGGUUUAUAUUAGAAUUGAAGUGCAAAUAGAGAAUAUUUUUAUGAUUAACAACUGCUAAUCUCAUAGUUCAGAUGAGAAUGGACUAACCAAUUUCUCCAAUCUUCUAUUGCAAGAGGUAGUUUUUCGCAAUUUAUGUUGCUCGUUUGCAUGAAACGCUUUAAUGAUAAUUUCUUUUCAUAUGUUUCUCCAUGAAAAUAAUCAUAUUCGAGACGUGUUUUAUGUUAAAUAUAAGAACAGUGUUAUAUCUCUAGAAAAAGAGUAUCACAAUCUCUUCAAGAAUAAAGACCAGUCAAUCCCAAUGCACUAUUUUCCACAAUGGAGAUGUGGCUGAAAAAUAAAAAGUGAAUAAUAAAUCAUGCAAUAAACACUUGCCAAUUGUGUAUGGAAAUUUUCGUUAUGUUUAUCUCUCUCAUUAGAAAUAGCAUUUUCAUAAAUAUGAAGACUAAUCUCUUCUACUUCUACUAAGACUCAACCCCGUUGAUUUUUUUUUUCUUCACAUUUCCUAUUUGUUAAGUACUAAUACUAUUGUUUUUGAGUUUAAUUCAAUCUAUUUAACUAUUCAUUCAAUUUUGAGGUAAUUUUUUUACAUUUUUUCAUAUAAAAAUAAUUUAUUUCAAUUUUGAGUCAUGUUAACUUAUGCCCUUGGAGCAUAUAUUAAACAAUCUAAAAAGAGCAAUUUGAAAAACACAAUAAUAGGACAACUUUUAAAAAGUUGAAUGCACGCAUUUUGAUAUGUGUAUUUCUAUUAUGAGUUGAGGAUACAAGUUAACAUUUGUCUUUUUUAAUAAGUUCUCUCUACAAGGAAUUAUAUUCGAGAUACUAUUACAUAUUAAAUUUAGGUACCUCUAAUUUAAGGUGUUUUGGAUACGCUUUAAAUUGGUUUUAUGAUAAAAACUCAUUCAAUAUAUAUAUAUAAAAUUUCAACAAUUUAUAUUGGUUUUGAAUGACUAAUUUUAAAGACCUUAUCCGUUCUGAUAGAAUUUAACAGGGUUUUAAUUUGAAUUAGUUUUCUACUUGGAGAAUAAUUUUGUUUGCUAACUUGUACCUAAGGGUACAAGAUAAUAAACUAAAUGUAGAAAUUUAAUCUUGAAAGUUGUGUAUUUAUAAUCUUAAAAACUUAAAAAUUUAUCAUUUCAAAGCCACAUUUAUUUUUUAAUUCUAUUUUUAAAAUUCUUGUCUAAGGGUACAAGUUAGCUUUUUCUCACUUUAAUUGUCAUUUUUAUGUUUCAAUACAACAUUAAGAGAAAAGGAAGUAACACCGCCAAUGAUAUGUUAUUUUCUUGUCUUCUUCUGUUGGGUUAAGUUAAGGGUUGUUGGUCCAUCAACUGGAACAAGAAAUUAAACCUCCUAACCGAAGGCAAGGCAAGUCAAUGAAGGCCACAAAUAUUGUAAUAGUUUUAAUCCUAGCUAGUAUGAAUCAUAUUGUAUGAUGUUUGACUUCAAUAACUUUAAACAUUGGAACUCUUUUUUAUUUUUAUUUUUAUAAUGAUUGACAUUUCAUUUGUCAACCAUAUAACAUUAUUGGAUGAUUUGAACUGCUUUAAAAUCCACAUGAAGUCAAAACAGAUUGAAUGUCCAUUUUAAUAUUUUGGUUGAAUUUGAUGCGCUCCUUUCUUUCUUUUAAUUUCACUUCUAGAAUGUAAACUGAUUAAUUAUUAUUAUUAUUAUAAUUUGACUUGCCUACAUAUUUUCACAAUUUUUAAAAACAUUUGAAUUACAAGAUAAAGUAAUACUAUAUGCAUUGUCUAUUGAAAUUAUUAAAUUUUUGUAUUUGUUUGAACUGGAGUUAAAUAUGAAAUCUCAUGAAUUAGUCUUAAUAAUACAAAUAAACUAAUUAUAUCCUCUUUAAUUACUAUGCUAUCAUGAUCACAUAUUCAUCUUCCUUUAAUUUGUUGGAGAAGAAAAGCUGAGGUCUAAUCCAAUGUUCAUUCCAUUGUAAGCAAUUGGAGCAUACAUCCACAUGCUCAAAAGCUGUUUCAUAUCCAAAUAAAUAAAUAAACAAUGAAUUAAUAUUUAUCUUUUGCAUAUAAGAAAUUGAAAAUUGGAAGUUUCUCAAAUAGUUACCUUAAUUUGAAGCUGCAAAAACUUCACAUAUUGGACAGCUU